CCUACGGGAGGCAGCAGUGAGGAAUAUUGGUCAAUGGACGAGAGUCUGAACCAGCCAAGCAGCGUGAAGGAUGAAUGCCCCAUGGGUCGUAAACUUCUUUUAUAAAGGAAUAAAACGAGGCACGUGUGCCUUUUUGCAUGUACUCUAUGAAUAAGGAUCGGCUAACUCCGUGCCAGCAGCCGCGGUAAUACGGAGGAUCCGAGCGUUAUCCGGAUUUAUUGGGUUUAAAGGGAGCGUAGACGGGUUGUUAAGUCAGUGGUGAAAGUUUGCGGCUCAACCGUAAAAUUGCAUUUGAUACUGGCAGUCUUGAGUACAGUAGAGGUAAGCGGAAUGCGUGGUGUAGCGGUGAAAUGCUUAGAUAUCACGAAGAACCCCGAUUGCGAAGGCAGCUUACUAAACUGGGACUGACAUUGAUGCUCGAAAGUGUGGGUAUCAAACAGGAUUAGAUACCCUUGUAGUC
RNAcentral lists this ribosomal RNA (460 nucleotides) under uncultured bacterium. RNAcentral describes it as "partial 16S ribosomal RNA". It matches the Rfam family "Bacterial small subunit ribosomal RNA", at positions 338 to 795 of the family's 1533-position model. The record is from RNAcentral.